RNAcentral lists this long non-coding RNA (230 nucleotides) under Gossypium barbadense (sea-island cotton). RNAcentral describes it as "long non-coding RNA (GBAR_LNC015691)". Lineage: Eukaryota; Viridiplantae; Streptophyta; Magnoliopsida; Malvales; Malvaceae. The record is from RNAcentral.
UUCCUUCCUUUAUGCUUGAGUGUGGUGUCAUCCUAGCCUCUCAUUGUGUCCUCCACUCCACGAAAAGGUGGUUGCAUCAAUGACCCACCUCGAUAAAAUAAUGACUUGGUGGGUGUUUAUGGCACUAUCAAUGAAUAACCAUAUAAUGUUGCAAAAUCCAGAUACGUUUGCAUUGACCUGGGUAUCAAUACUUGCAUUGAUGACGAUAUUAGUGUCGCCAUUGGUGUCAC